This is a long non-coding RNA of Hippoglossus stenolepis (Pacific halibut), 548 nucleotides long. RefSeq lists it as uncharacterized. The transcript has 3 exons. The record is from RefSeq and is a predicted model, not a curated record. Lineage: Eukaryota; Metazoa; Chordata; Actinopteri; Pleuronectiformes; Pleuronectidae.
UAACUGGGACCAAGAGAGAUGUUACAGUGUUUCCCACAGGUUGAAGCUACACUUUUCAGAUGUUGGUGAUGCCAGUGUGAUGGAGCUUCAGCUGUUCUUGAAUGCACCUGUCCCCACCCCCUACCAACUGGCGGGCCUUUCACCUGGAAGCACUUGGCAGGAAAUCACACACACAUGCUCAAACAUACAGGAGAAUGGUGGGGAGAGAAGCCACCACAGGAGGUUGCCACCACAAACUUGGCAUUGUCGUCGGGAUGACUCGAGUGAGAGCUCAUCUGGAACCCAGGCAUUUAGCAAGACCGGCCACCGGAUAACUCACGACAUGCAACAUCCUCGUACAAGGCUGCAGGAUUAGCCCAAAUGAUUUCUUCUACACGUGGUGGAAAGAUGGGACAUGGACCAACAAAGAACCAAUACAGUUUUGACACGAAUCUGGACAAAGGGAUGGAUUCAGGAUUUUCACUUUCUUUAACAUCCUGAGAUAAUGAUUGGAUCUGGAUUAAAACAAAAUGUUGAGAGGACAGGAAUUUAUGAGCGUGUGUAAUUUG